RNAcentral lists this ribosomal RNA (253 nucleotides) under uncultured bacterium. RNAcentral's name for it is "partial 16S ribosomal RNA". It matches the Rfam family "Bacterial small subunit ribosomal RNA", at positions 524 to 776 of the family's 1533-position model. The record is from RNAcentral.
UACGGAGGGUGCAAGCGUUAUCCGGAAUGAUUGGGCGUAAAGCGUCUGUAGGUGGCUUUUCAAGUCCGCCGUCAAAUCCCAGGGCUCAACCCUGGACAGGCGGUGGAAACUACAAAGCUGGAGUACGGUAGGGGCAGGGGGAAUUUCCGGUGUAGCGGUGAAAUGCGUAGAGAUCAGGAAGAACACCAACGGCGAAAGCACUCUGCUGGGCCGACUCUGACACUGAGAGACGAAAGCUAGGGGAGCAAACGGG